RNAcentral lists this ribosomal RNA (526 nucleotides) under uncultured bacterium. Its description in RNAcentral is "bacterial SSU rRNA". It matches the Rfam family "Bacterial small subunit ribosomal RNA", at positions 777 to 1301 of the family's 1533-position model. The record is from RNAcentral.
AAUAGAUACCCUGGUAGUCCACGCCGUAAACGAUGAGUGCUAAGUGUUAGAGGGUUUCCGCCCUUUAGUGCUGCAGCUAACGCAUUAAGCACUCCGCCUGGGGAGUACGGUCGCAAGACUGAAACUCAAAGGAAUUGACGGGGGCCCGCACAAGCGGUGGAGCAUGUGGUUUAAUUCGAAGCAACGCGAAGAACCUUACCAGGUCUUGACAUCCUCUGACAACUCUAGAGAUAGAGCGUUCCCCUUCGGGGGACAGAGUGACAGGUGGUGCAUGGUUGUCGUCAGCUCGUGUCGUGAGAUGUUGGGUUAAGUCCCGCAACGAGCGCAACCCUUGAUCUUAGUUGCCAGCAUUUAGUUGGGCACUCUAAGGUGACUGCCGGUGACAAACCGGAGGAAGGUGAGGAUGACGUCAAAUCAUCAUGCCCCUUAUGACCUGGGCUACACACGUGCUACAAUGGAUGGUACAAAGGGCUGCAAGACCGCGAGGGCAAGCAAAUCCCAAAAAGUGCGCCUCAGUUCGGAUUGC